AACGCAUAUUGCGCCUUAGUCUCGACGAGGGCAUGUCUGCCUCAGCGUCGGUUUAACCCCUCAUUCCAUUCCCCCUUGCGGGAAAGCGCUUUGCCUUGCAAAGCCUUGGAGUGGAUCUGGCUUUCCCAACUGCGCGUCCAAAGCGCCAUUUGGGUUGGCUGAAGCUUAGAGGCUAGAGCUCGGACCCGUAUGGGCUUACAACUGGAUAGGUAGACGGCCGCUUCGGCGGCCUCAACUACACGUGUUGUAGCCUGUGGUCUUUGCUGGCGGCCAAAGCAGGAAAAGCUGCGUCUUCGGGCAAGGCUUUUAUUAAACAUUCGACCUGAGCUCAGGCAAGGCUACCCGCUGAACUUAA
Molecule: unclassified non-coding RNA, 355 nt
Filed under: uncultured fungus
Lineage: Eukaryota; Fungi
Description: partial contains ITS1, 5.8S rRNA and ITS2
Source: RNAcentral